GCCCAGCCACCCUCCGCCUCUUCUUCCAUGACUGCUUCGUCGAGGGAUGUGAUGCUUCUAUAUUGAUAUCGCCGGGGUUGAGCGAAGAAAAGGUGGAGAGGGACGUUGAGGAUAACAAGAACUUGGCCCCUGAAGGGUUUGAGACUAUAAGCAUUGCCAAGGAGGCGGUGGAGGGUAAGUGCCCCGGCAUCGUCUCUUGUUCCGACAUUCUCGCCAUUGCCGCAAGGGAUUUCGUCCAUCAGGCUGGAGGUCCUUACUACACAGUAAAGAAAGGCAGGCGUGACAGCCGAGUUUCACUAGCAUCGAAAGUUCCU
RNAcentral lists this unclassified non-coding RNA (314 nucleotides) under Hevea brasiliensis (rubber tree). The record is from RNAcentral. Lineage: Eukaryota; Viridiplantae; Streptophyta; Magnoliopsida; Malpighiales; Euphorbiaceae.